UGGGGAAUAUUGGGCAAUGGGCGAAAGCCUGACCCAGCAACGCCGCGUGAAGGAAGAAGGCUUUCGGGUUGUAAACUUCUUUUACCAGGGACGAAGGACGUGACGGUACCUGGAGAAAAAGCCACGGCUAACUACGUGCCAGCAGCCGCGGUAAUACGUAGGGGGCAAGCGUUGUCCGGAAUGACUGGGCGUAAAGGGUGUGUAGGCGGGCUCGCAAGUUGGAUGUGUAAUACCCAGAGCUUAACUCGGGUGCUGCAUCUGAAACUACGAGUCUUGAGUGUCGGAGAGGUAAGUGGAAUUCCUAGUGUAGCGGUGGAAUGCGUAGAUAUUAGGAGGAACAUCAGUGGCGAAGGCGACUUACUGGACGAUAACUGACGCUGAGGCACGAAAGCGUGGGGAGCAAACAGGAUUAGAUACCCUGGUAGU
RNAcentral lists this ribosomal RNA (426 nucleotides) under uncultured Saccharofermentans sp. RNAcentral's name for it is "bacterial SSU rRNA". It matches the Rfam family "Bacterial small subunit ribosomal RNA", at positions 355 to 794 of the family's 1533-position model. Lineage: Bacteria; Bacillati; Bacillota; Clostridia; Eubacteriales; Oscillospiraceae. The record is from RNAcentral.